Long non-coding RNA from Ochlerotatus camptorhynchus, 439 nucleotides. RefSeq lists it as uncharacterized. The transcript has 2 exons. NCBI's taxonomy places the organism in Eukaryota, Metazoa, Arthropoda, Insecta, Diptera, Culicidae. The record is from RefSeq and is a predicted model, not a curated record.
UCGUCGACAGAUCGUAUUUAUUCGGCCACCCGUUGCUGUUCCAUUGAUAUAGCUUUUAUUUAAUUAAAUUCUACCUGCAGUGUAAGUACAAAGUUCGAGAUAACUACCUCGAGCUUCAGUUUGUUCUUGAUUACGUUGCUUUGUGCUCGUAUUAUUGCGUUAGUCGUUCAAUUGCGUUAACUUUCUCGUGUCACGCUUUUCCUCCCGAUCGUAUCUUCGACUGAUUUUUUUCGUUUUCUCGUGAGUGAGUGAAAUCUGCUGCUUCCAAGAUGUGUAACUGUGGCACCAUUGUUGUAUGCUGUAUCUUGUUCGCCAUCGCGAUCGCCGUGGCGAUCUACUAUGGUGUGUUCAACGUCGAUGACUCAGCACCAGAGGUAGGCGAUUUCAUCAAAAAGACUGGAGAUUCGAUCAAACACGGCAUCAAGGAGGGUGCCAAAAA